GACGUAGGGCACGAGCGUUGUCCGGAUUUAUUGGGCGUAAAGAGCUCGUAGGCGGCUUGUCGCGUCGGAUGUGAAAUCUCGGGGCUCAACUCCGAGCUUGCAUUCGAUACGGGCAGGCUAGAGUUCGGUAGGGGAGACUGGAAUUCCUGGUGUAGCGGUGAAAUGCGCAGAUAUCAGGAGGAACACCGGUGGCGAAGGCGGGUCUCUGGGCCGAUACUGACGCUGAGGAGCGAAAGCGUGGGGAGCGAACAGG
This 253-nucleotide ribosomal RNA is filed under the name uncultured bacterium. Its description in RNAcentral is "partial 16S ribosomal RNA". It matches the Rfam family "Bacterial small subunit ribosomal RNA", at positions 524 to 776 of the family's 1533-position model. The record is from RNAcentral.